GCGUGCUUAACACAUGCAAGUCGAACGCUGAAGCUCCCAGCUUGCUGGGGGUGGAUGAGUGGCGAACGGGUGAGUAACACGUGAGUAACCUGCCCCGAACUCUGGGAUAAGCGCUGGAAACGGCGUCUAAUACUGGAUAUGUCCUAUCACCGCAUGGUGUGUAGGUGGAAAGAAUUUCGGUUCGGGAUGGACUCGCGGCCUAUCAGCUAGAUGGUGAGGUAAUGGCUCACCAUGGCGACGACGGGUAGCCGGCCUGAGAGGGUGACCGGCCACACUGGGACUGAGACACGGCCCAGACUCCUACGGGAGGCAGCAGUGGGGAAUAUUGCACAAUGGGCGCAAGCCUGAUGCAGCAACGCCGCGUGAGGGAUGACGGCCUUCGGGUUGUAAACCUCUUUUAGUAGGGAAGAAGCGAAAGUGACGGUACCUGCAGAAAAAGCACCGGCUAACUACGUGCCAGCAGCCGCGGUAAUACGUAGGGUGCAAGCGUUGUCCGGAAUUAUUGGGCGUAAAGAGCUCGUAGGCGGCUUGUCGCGUCUGCUGUGAAAACCAGAGGCUCAACCUCUGGCCUGCAGUGGGUACGGGCAAGCUAGAGUGCGGUAGGGGAGAUUGGAAUUCCUGGUGUAGCGGUGGAAUGCGCAGAUAUCAGGAGGAACACCGAUGGCGAAGGCAGAUCUCUGGGCCGUAACUGACGCUGAGGAGCGAAAGCAUGGGGAGCGAACAGGAUUAGAUACCCUGGUAGUCCAUGCCGUAAACGUUGGGAACUAGAUGUAGGGCCUGUUCCACGGGUUCUGUGUCGUAGCUAACGCAUUAAGUUCCCCGCCUGGGGAGUACGGCCGCAAGGCUAAAACUCAAAGGAAUUGA
Molecule: ribosomal RNA, 864 nt
Filed under: Leucobacter chromiiresistens
Lineage: Bacteria; Bacillati; Actinomycetota; Actinomycetes; Micrococcales; Microbacteriaceae
Description: bacterial SSU rRNA
Rfam family: Bacterial small subunit ribosomal RNA
Source: RNAcentral